This is a long non-coding RNA of Perca fluviatilis (European perch), 549 nucleotides long. RefSeq lists it as uncharacterized. NCBI's taxonomy places the organism in Eukaryota, Metazoa, Chordata, Actinopteri, Perciformes, Percidae. The transcript has 2 exons. The record is from RefSeq and is a predicted model, not a curated record.
UUCGGUUCGCUGGGAAAAAAAAUCUUGUCAAAAAGCCCAAAUAUUUGGCCGAAGCUGAAUCCUGGAUUCGGUGCAUCCCUACUUUAAACCGACUUUUCUUUUAAUCCAAAAAAUGGUAUUAACUCAGUAUAUUAGUCUGUGUUUCUACGGACGUUUCUAACAGUGUAGGCAACUUUUCACCACAAAUAUUAAAAAAACUAUCUCAUAAAAAAUACAACUCACAAACUGGAAGUGACUUGAAAAACUCUGGCGAAGAGGAUUUAAAAAAAGGAAAGGGAAAGGGAGCGUCCUGAUUGGCUCCAGGUGUGUUUUCAGUUUGUUGAUGAAAGGGAGCGUCCUGAUUGGCUCCAGGUGUGUUUUCAGUUUGUUGAUGAAAGGGAGCGUCCUGAUUGGCUCCAGGUGUGUUUCCAGUUUGUUGAUGUUGUUGUGCUCCUGAAGCCUUAAACCUGACUGUGUGUGUAACUUUGAAAUGUUUCUUCUUUCACUUUGUGUUCAUUUAAACAAACGUGUUAAAUAUUUUCACCGACCAGCUAAGGCUUCCAAAGAUCA